Molecule: long non-coding RNA, 899 nt
Organism: Triticum aestivum (bread wheat)
Lineage: Eukaryota; Viridiplantae; Streptophyta; Magnoliopsida; Poales; Poaceae
Exons: 2
Source: RefSeq, a predicted model, not a curated record
GAUGAUAGCGGCACGACGAGAGCAUUUCGUGUGCCAUCGCUGAGGGCUGCGAUGCGUAAACUUCGUUGAAGAAAACAAGGGCCUGCACAAGAAGACGUUGGAUUCCCCUUGAUCGAGUGCCACGACUCAGCAUGGCCUCGCGAGUCGUCCUUCAUGAAGGCUGAAGCGGGCGGAGGCUCGGCACGGGCGCGGGUCUUGCAGUGGUAGGGUGGCGCGUCCAGUCGCCGGGCAUGCGCCCUCUAUCUCCCAGGCUGCACAACACACCGGCAAGUCCUUCAGGCGACUGACGCCCAGCAGGUGCUCGAAGUAUUGCUUGCAACUUUGUGCGUCUUCCCUUGUUGGCCUAAUCCUUGUCUCGGCUCACACAUGUUCCUGAUUUAUGGAAUUUGUCUUGGCCUCUCUGUUUUGGCGGCGAGAUUGGGGAUGGCGGCUCCUCGUGCGGCGGCUGGCAGUGGCGCACGGCGGAUCCCUGACGGCGACUGGUAGCGAUCGUCGGAUCUUCGGAUGGCGGCCGUUGUAACGCGCUCUCCCUCGAUCAAAAUAGCAGAUCAAUUCAACCGGGCGACAUGAUCCAAGCUGAAUCAUUUUGCCGUGUUUGUGGCUAGCUACAUCUCCCAAUUCCAUGCAUGCGUGUUUGGGAGGGUGUGCUCCAGCCGCUCCUCAUUGUUGUCUCCAGGGGCGGAGCCAGAAAAUUUGGCCGAUGGGUUCACUCGGUACCUCAUUGUAAGGAUUUAAUAUGGGUUAAUUAAGUGUAGCUUUCAAUUUCAUACUAACUUACAAUAGGGGCACGUCACUUAAAAGACAUGUGGCGAGUAGAAAUAUGAUAUCGAUUAUCACAUAUGGUGGUUACAUAUAGAAGUGGAGAGUGCAAGACAUACUGAUUGUGUGAAAUUAUAAAA